RNAcentral lists this long non-coding RNA (565 nucleotides) under Gadus morhua (Atlantic cod). RNAcentral's name for it is "lncRNA (ENSGMOG00000024558.1)". The record is from RNAcentral. Lineage: Eukaryota; Metazoa; Chordata; Actinopteri; Gadiformes; Gadidae.
UCCAAAGCAACCAAGGUUUGACACCAUGACACCUCCGCAGGACCAAGAUGCUGAAGCCCCACCUCCGCAGGACCAAGAUGCUGAAGCCCCACCUCCCCAUGAUGAAGACGCCUUUGUUAAUGACACAGACAGUGAUGCGGAUACCAUCAUUCUGGAAUUGCCCGUUCCUUCUGCACCCUCAGGAGCCCAAGAUGUUCCAGAGCUAGAGAGGACUGAGUGUGUAUUUCUAACCAGAAAAUCAUUACGGAUCAGUUCAUCUUCAGAUGACAGCUUUGCAGCAGAAUCUAGCAGCAUUGAAAACAGUGACGACGAUUUUGUGCCAGAUUCACAAGAAUCUGACUGUUCUGAGGAAUCUCAAGAGGCGAAAAGCUCAUCUCCCAAUGUGACCCUAGACAGCAGCGAUGAUAAUACAUCUUCAAUGAUUGCAACCCAACAGUCUUCCUCUCUUGAAACUACACCCAGAAGGCUAGGAAGAAAGGAAAGGAAUCAGGAGGACCGUGGAGAGCACCGAGGAGGCCGAGUGGCUCUGUUCCUGGACAGCAGGCGGCAGAGAGACUAUACAUGA